UAUAAAGUGCCUGAUUAAAGGAUUAUUCUGAUAGAAUAAAUUAAAUAAUUUAAAAUUAUCUUUAUAA
This 67-nucleotide transfer RNA is filed under the name Cheumatopsyche infascia. RNAcentral's name for it is "tRNA-Ile". Lineage: Eukaryota; Metazoa; Arthropoda; Insecta; Trichoptera; Hydropsychidae. The record is from RNAcentral.